Molecule: long non-coding RNA, 1226 nt
Organism: Dunckerocampus dactyliophorus (ringed pipefish)
Lineage: Eukaryota; Metazoa; Chordata; Actinopteri; Syngnathiformes; Syngnathidae
Exons: 4
Source: RefSeq, a predicted model, not a curated record
UACAGCCCUAAUGCAUUCUAAUAUAAUUCUAUAAUAAUUCUAAUACAAUCUGGGUGAUAAUCGGGGGCUACGUGUUCUAUAGUGUAUCUUGCAGUUGCACGUUACAGAAGAAUGCAAAAUUGAACUAAAAUGGAAAAGCUCAUGAACUACCGUAACUAUCAUGCAUCACUGUCAAACAGUGCAGUCGCUUCAUGUUGUGUUUGUUCUGUGUAGGUUUUUUUCACGACGUUAUACAAUCUGAAACACUAUCUAACAAGGUCAUCUCAGAAAGAAGGCGUUCAAGUGGACUGAUAAAACUAUGGUUAACUUUAAAACAAAUGAAAGGAUAUUUUUGAGUUUGCAAGCCUCACAUGAAUUAAUACUUGGGAAAUGGAAAAAAACCUCUGUCAGCAGUUCUAAUGACACAUUUACAAGGCAUCGCAAGUACCGUUCACGUGACCCCAUAAAAGUGGGAAAGUAUCACUUUCUUUACAUUUAUAAAAGCAAUGAUUUUGAUUAGCAUUAAAUUAACGGUGUAGUCCAGUCGUACUCGUAAAACAGUUCAAACUUUCAAGCUUCCCUUUCUGUACAAAAGUACUUUCAAUUUUGAUUUCAACGCACGUACGUGCGUUGCCUCGCGAAGGGGGGAAUCCUCCAUACCCGUGAAUGCGUCCGAUUGUCUAGCUUACUGUUACAAAGAAAAGAGGGCACGGAGAACUCAGAUAACAUAUCCGCUACAUUUGCUCCCGGAGGCCUGCUGAUAGCUGUAGCCUUAAAUACUAUUUCCCUUGCUGAGACCCGAACUUGGCCACAAUGCGGAAGAGGACGGUAAAUUCACUACCUGUCCAACCAAAAUGUCCAAGGCGAAACGGUCUGGCCGCUCAGGGCAUCUCCGGCCAUUUGCAGGUCUGCCGUGCCCACAGGAACCGCCAUUGGAGAAGAAACUCUCUUUCCGCACACCGACGAUGACGUAACUGCGUCACUGGGCUGACGUCGCUGUUGAUUGGAGCCCCAUCACGGAUGUGCACUGAAAUACUACGCAUACUACACGCACACAGCAAAACCAUGAGAAUAAAACAUGUGUGUCAGCCUGAUUGUCAAUUUGGCUACUCGGGAGUGGUGCAUCUUAAUAUUUAUCCAUCUUUGACAACCUCUUGGUUUCCACUUUUGUGUGCGUUUCUUUUUUACAAGCGCCAACAAGUCUGAUGUUCAUGCAUAUUUUUAAAUAACUACAAAUAUUAAAAAGU